AAGCGGUUUUGCCAAGGAUUAGAAAGUAGCUUUCCAGUUGAGAAUGGUGUACAACAAACCCAACUCAACGAGAGCUUCAUGUAUCACCAGAAUCUACAGAAGCAUGCUCAUCCUACAAGACUGAUGGGUAGAAGAGUUGCAUUCCCCAGUGUUGGUCAGCUGGCAUUUAUGAUGCAACAAAGUCAUGAGCAAGUGGACACGUCAAAGCCUUGUCCUCGAUGUUUGGCAGGUGAAUCUGGUCAUAUUAAUCAUAUGGCUGACUAAAAGGCAAGAAGAUCAUCAUGUAAAACUGAAGAGACUUUUAAUGGCAUUAUGAAGAUUCUACAAGAAAUAUCUAAAUUUCUUAAUAAUAUUUUAUUACUAGGUACUGUUUUCAAAUUUAGCCAAGAUUUUAUCUUUUUGUACUUGAACUGUCUAAUUUACAAUACUUAUUGUUAUAAUAAAGGCAGAACAACAUUUAUUUUCUCAUCAAAAGAAAUUAAAUGAUUGUCAGCAAGGUGUUUUCCGACAAUGUAUGUUUACGAAAGUUAUAACUUUGAACUUUAAAGGAAUGAAGAUAAUAUGUGACAUUAGUGCUACAGUAAAGAAUUGAUGACAGUGUGCUGUUUACUAAAGAUUUUUAAAUCACAUUGUUCUUCAGAAGAUUUUUUUUAAAAGGCUUCAUUGCCUGAUUGCCUGAUUGAAAAUCAAUGAUCAAUGGCAUUUGAUUUUAAAACAUUGUAAAUUGGCUACAUUUUUGGCUGCGUUUUUCACAUGUGCCAGAAUAUAAAUAACUUUAAACUACGUGGUAUUUCAUUUAUAAGUUGAGUGUACAGAGUGUUUGUUAUUCUUCUCCCACUUCUUUCAUCUUUUUAAGAAACAGGUGGCUCUUCUGGUUUACAAUUCCGUGUGUGUCAGCAAACUCAUCAUAGAAUCCCUCAUAGAAUCCCUACAGUGUGGAAACAGGCCCUUCGGCCCAACAAGUCCACACCGAACCUCAGAACAUCCCACCCAGACCCAUCCCCCUAUAACCGAACAGCCAUUAUAGAGGAGUCUGACUGUGUUUACACACUCCCAUUUCCCAAAAGCUGACCAGAUAGCAAGCCCAGAAGUGCUAAAGUCAUUUUAUUGUCUUGUUAGCUAGAUAAUCAACAGUGCAACAAAAUGAUGUUAAUAUAUGGCCUGCACUGCUGCCCUCUGUAACCCUCACCUUAUCUCUAACUCAUCAAAAAGAUCACAGCUUUUGACUAAAUUUGGGUUUCUGCCAUACCUGUUGGUGGUCUUGAAUUUAAGAGGUCGGGCAAACAAAGUAUUGGGGUUAUCUGCUAGUGUCAAAUCCAGUCUUUCUCAGCAUUGCCCAGGUUGAUGUGCUCUGCAUGGAAGUUAGUAAGAGGAUGACACUGCUUUCCUCUUCCCAGAAAAUAAAUUUGUGUCUCCUUUGUAUUAUCUUCAAUGGACUGGCUGGUACCAUUUUAUCACUUUGUGAUGGCGUAUAUAAAGUAUGUCGUACUUUUUUAACAAUGAAAAUAUUAAAAAUUUGAUGCCACUUUUGAUAAUGUAUUUGUGUUUUGAAGAAUACUCCAAGAAGCUCAAUACUAAAUUUUUAAUAUAUCUUGUGUUUAGAAAAUAUUUACAAGCAUUUGUAUUACUUUUGCUACAAGCUAUUGUAAUUUGAAACUGUUUCUCGUGCAAAAUUCUGUUUUAUUUUGCAAAACCUUAUUCUGAAACAAAUGUGCUAGACAUGGGAUUAUUGGUGUCUCAAGCAAGCAAAGUUUUUUGCACAGAUCAUGGAGGGAAUUCUAAAUAUUCAGUAUUGAUACUGUUCAGAAUAUUUUUGUCUACUUGAUAUGUAUCUGUAUUUAAUGGGCAUUACAUUGCUUUUUGUGCUGUAUUUAGGUUUAACUAAACUUUUGAUCUAAAAUAAAAUUGGUGCUAUUAUUUAA
Molecule: long non-coding RNA, 1922 nt
Organism: Rhincodon typus (whale shark)
Lineage: Eukaryota; Metazoa; Chordata; Chondrichthyes; Orectolobiformes; Rhincodontidae
Exons: 3
Source: RefSeq, a predicted model, not a curated record